RNAcentral lists this long non-coding RNA (10985 nucleotides) under Lactuca sativa (garden lettuce). RNAcentral's name for it is "long non-coding RNA (LSAT_LNC009165)". Lineage: Eukaryota; Viridiplantae; Streptophyta; Magnoliopsida; Asterales; Asteraceae. The record is from RNAcentral.
CAUCGUCAUAACUCAUCACUACAUAUUAGAUAAAGAUUGAUUCCCAAGUUUCUUUUCUUAAUCUCUCUCUCUCAUACUUUAUUCAUUCUCUUCACACCUUCAUCUCCCUCUCUCCCUCUCUCUAGAUUUUGUGUCAGAAACAAAGUACAACAUAUAAUUUCCUUUCAGUUUUGUACUUCCUCGUUGUGUCAGAGGAAAAUCUUUCAUCUUCUUUUUGCCCUUAUUUCGAAACAACCCUAUUUCCACAAGUCGAUUCAGAAUGUCUGCACCUCAACCCACAUCCAAAAACCGUACCUCUCUCAAGAUCCAUCUCGCUUAUCGAUUCCUUCUUGCUUUAAACACCCUCAACCAGAAAAGAUCAGCUUUUGACCACACCCAGAACCAUAAAAGGUCUAACCGUGUAAAGAUUGCAGCCUACGCAUCAAUGGCGUCUGUGGUUGGACCAAGACGAGCUUGGAGCCGUGCGAUUUUAUGGAAGAUCAGAAACCGAUGUGUGUUAACAAGAAACAAGAAGAGGGUUCAUCAUAUAACUACUAGUCUUCGUCUUCAUCGACAUCAUGCACGGCCUACAAGGAGAAGAAACCCUAAUAGAGAACAUGUUAACCCGUUUGGGAAUUCGGGUCUAGAAGUGAAGCUUAGGAAGCUUGUACCUGGUGCUGAAACCAUGGAUCCAUGCGGUUUGUUGGAUGAAACUGCUGAUUAUAUAAAGCAUCUGGCCACGCAGGUUGAAGUCAUGAAAACUCUGGUAGAUCUCUACUCCACCGUUUGAAUAUAUACACACAAAAAGAUAAAUAUAUAUACACACACAUAUGUAAAUCGAUAUAUCUAUACAUACAUAUAUACGCGAUCAAUAGAACUUGUGUAUGUAUGAUAAUAUGUCAUCUUGAGAAGCUUGCGAAGAAGAAUAUGUGGAGGUGGUUUAAGUUUUUGAUUAUCUUUUCUAUGAAGAAUUUAUAGCUCAAAUACAUAUGCAGAAUAAAGUGAUCCCAAGUUGGUCUUGCUUUUUUUUUUUUUUUUUUUUUUUUUUNNNNNNNNNNNNNNNNNNNNNNNNNNNAGGUGGUUUUGUUUUUUUUUUUUUUUUUUUUUUUUUUUGUAAAUAUUUAUAAAAAUCUAUGCUUUAAUUUGAAAAUUUUGUGUUAAUUAUUACGUACACUUUAGUUUGUGGAAAUCAAUCUAGAACUUACAUAGAAAUUAUGUAUGGCUUCAAGGAUAGUUUCGUCUAAUAACUUAUCAAUGAAAAUGUUGGUUUCAGUUUUAAAGUGUUGAACUUGAAUUUCUUAAUUAGAGUUCCAAAUGGUCGAAGAAUUCUGGCUUUAUUAAUAAUCAACUAAUGGACGCUUUUAAUUUGAUUAUCGUGUCCUCUGGUUGCUCCGAUUGGACUUUGUUGCGCAUCCAUCUACAUUUCAUUAGAAUUAAUUAAGGUUAAUUAUUCAUGGAAGGUGCACCUAAUUUAUCUUAUCUUAUCCUUAAAGAUCUUUAAAAGCAAUUUAUGUUCAAUACAUAACUUCAUGUCUCUCGAAACCUUGUUUUAUUUUUCAUAGAUAUUAGUAAUACAACAUCGGUUCUAAAUCGAUAAUAACCAGAAAUGUUAUAUAGUCAUAUAUAAUACAUAUAAUGACGUGUGAUUGGAUAUAAUUGUGAGUUAAAAGAUCAUCAAUUAUCUUCAUAUUAAUUUCAUUGAAAGUAAGGAUUGAUAUACAAAUUAAUCGGGGUUUCCAUCAAUUUUAAGUCAAGUCCCAUGUGAAUAGCGUCUUUGUCUUGGUAUAUAAUCAAAUCAAUUAUUUGUUUUUUUUCUUAUAAAUCUUCACCUCUUGUACCGAAUUCCUUUUCCAAUCUAUUCCUUCAAUCUAUUUUUGAGUGAUAUCGUUCUAGAAAAUAGUCUUGAUUUCGACCAUUUCACCAAUCUGAUAUUUAUAGAUUUUUUAUCAUGUUUUUGGCAUUCGUGGUGUUGACGUUAUGUGUCAUGGCAUCUAUUUCAGACAAAAUAAAUAACUUUUUAAAUAAACGUAUCUAUCGUUCGUACAAAAACAGUUUCAAAGCCAAUAUUUCUUGAAAGGUAUUUUUUCCAAUUGUUAAAAUGGUAUGUUAUUCAAUACACAUUAAACCCGAAUGGUGAUUUUGAUUUUUUUUCUCCUCUUCUGAAUAUGGUUGUUUCUUAUAGAAUAUCGUUCCUUCGAUACUCUUACAAGGUCAACAAUGGUAAUAUUAUCGAUUUUAUGGAAACUUCUUAAUUAAUUUUGCCUUUUAACUAGUGUAUGCUCUAAAAACGAAAUAAAUUGGUAACAUGAAAGAGGCGGGGCCGUGGGGGAGGGUUAUGGUAUAGAUUCUUAAAACAAGUGGCUUACUUUAGAACCAUGUGGAAUCGCCAAAUAAUGAUGCAUCAUAUUCAUAUAUAUUCAUCUCUCUCUCUCUCUCUCUCUCUCUCUCUCUCUUUCUUUUUUUAGUUCUUNNNNNNNNNNNNNNNNNNNNNNNNNNNNNNNNNNNNNNNNNNNNNNNNNNNNNNNNNNNNNNNNNNNNNNNNNNNNUCUCUCUCUCUCUCUCUCUCUCUCUCUCUCUCUCUCUCUCUCUCUCUCUCUCUCUCUCUCUCUCUCUCUCUCUCUCUCUCUCUCUUAAAUUUUAGAGUUUAUGUUUUAUACAAAAGAAAUACAGUAUAUCGAAAUUUAUAUAUUUUUUUAAUCUAUCCUAAUAAAUGAAAAUGACUUUGCCACAUGUCAUUCUCUCAUAAAAUUAGCCACAUGUAAUUUUGUCAUAAAUUUGAGAUAUAUAUUUAUUUUCCACUUGUCAUUGCUUCAAUUUUCAUUUUCAAUCUAUCAUUAAUUUAGUUUCUAUAAAUUAAACCUACCAUAAUGACUAUUAAUUUUAAAUUUUAAAUUUUAAAUUCAAUUUCAAAUAAAUUUACAGUUUAAACCUUUAUGUUUAACAUUUUGUUAUAAUUAACUCGUUUAGUACACUAAACACAUAAUUUUAAUUAAUUUAUUUUUUGCAUGUUUUUUUCACAUAAUUUUCACUUAUUUCAAUUUUAAAUUCAAAUAAAAUUUCUAUUUAAUCGUUCGUACUUAACAUUUUGCUUUAAUCAACCCGUAUAAUAUACGGGUCUCACAACUAGUCUAUAAAUAUACAUCAACAUCAAUAUACAACAACAUCGAUAUAAAAAAAAUUGUUUUUUUUAAAUUUCAUGUCAAUUUCACAUUAUCUAACAUUGUAAAUUUAAANNNNNNNNNNNNNNNNNNNNNNNNNNNNNNNNNNNNNNGGUAAGACUAGCAUUUUAAUCAUACAUACAUACAUAUAUAUAUAUAUAUAUAUAUAUAUAUAUAUAUAUAUAUUUUGAUAGGUUAAUAUACAAUAUGAAUGUCUCAUCGGUUAUAAAAACUAUAUAACAUCUAUAGAUUUUUUAGCCUACAUGAUUGUCAAGUUCAUUUGAAUGAUACAUAUGAAUGAUAAAUAUCGAUAUGAAUAAUCGUUAACCAAGAUAUAUCAAAUUUAUAUAUGAAUUGGAGUAAAUAUUCAGGUUCAUAAGAGAAUUUGAGUAUAUUCACGUGUGAAUCUUUUAUGUUAUUUCUAACAUUUUGAUGUUACACCAAUGAAAUUAUUCUGAUUUGUAAAUGAAUUUACUCAACUUUACAUAUGAAUGAUCAAAAAGUUAUUGAAAAAAAUCAAAUAUAAUGAUUAUGUUCGUGUUAAUUAUUGAAAAAAAAUUGUGUAUGUAGGAUUUGAUAUUUAGAAUGGACAACUUGUCAGUUGUCCAUACGCAGGGGAUUAAUAAUUGUCGGCUUGUCAAGUUCCUUGCAUUCAGAAGGGUGUAGUAAAGAAUUAACUCUCUCACUGCUUGCAUCAGUAUACCUCUUUGUGGAGAACAAUGGUACAAUCUAAGAGUAACAUUGCGAUUUACCUAAGAAAAUACAUGUAACGAUCAUAUGACCGACCAUAAGGUUAACAUUAUUGGUGAUUUAAGUAUCACCGGUUCAUUUUAUGUAAUGAGAUUCAUACAUGUUUCAAGGGGAUUAUAUCUUAGUUUUAAUACAAGGUUGAAGGUGUGGAGUGCACACUUGUAUUGGUCUAGAUUGAUCCUGAUACGACUAAAAGAGCGGAGGUCAAAGGGGUCAUGCCCCUUAGCGGGUGUCACAUUGUAAUUAUGUAUGGUUAUCUAUUUCAUAACUGCCUAUCCAAAUCAGGAGUUAUCAAAUGAAACAACCAGUUUUUGAUACAUACAAAAAAUUCACACACUCUCUAGUUCUUGAUCGAUCUUCUGUGUAUAGAACAUCGAUUGUUAUUUUGAGGAUUAUCUUAGGUCGAAUUUCUCAUAACCCAGACAUAUGGGAGAAAUGUCGAUUCUCAAAGUAAACCAAUACGAUCCUUGAUGAAUCCAAUGAUUAUCAAAUUAUGUUUCUACCAUAUUUUCUAAAAAAAUGUGCAUUGUCAUUUGUCAAUACCUACAUUUACAUGUAUGUUCUUGUAAAUAAACGAUAACAUUCUUGAAUAUGUAAGAAAAUAAUAAAAGACACAAAAUCAUAUAUUAACGAUAACACUUUCGAUGUAAAGCUUUCAUAUUUUCUCCGGUCAAUUAGUUCUCAGCCGAUAAGGUGAUUUUGUGUUGAAUAUUUGUUAGAGCAUAUAUAGAAGAUUCAUUUAUAUUUAAAAAUAUGUAGAGUAAUUAAUAUAUGAUACUUACUUACCUUAUUUCUAUGUUCGAAAUACCAUUGUUGUACAAUUUUCUAGAAAAGUCCCAUAAGCAUGGUUACUUGUAGUUUUUGUUGAGUCGUAUACAACAAAUUCAUUGGCUCCACAUUAUUCGAAGUCAUAUAACCAUAAUGAACCCUAAGGAAGCAAGAUUUUUGUCAUUUUUCGUUCCCAAAAUAGUCAAUCCAAUCACAUAUUUCUGGUAAAACACAUUGUAUCAUGACUAUGUGAUAUUCAAAGUUCUCGAUCUGUAACGCUAUGCAUGUAUACUAAUAUAUGAUUUUGUGUCUUUUAUUAUUUUCCUUACAUUUCAAACGAAUAUUCAUCACCAUAUUAAGAAAAUAUAGCCCAUAAUAUGCAUUUAGGAACACAUGUUUUAUAGAUUUAUCUUUAUCACAUACGAUGACCAAGCCUUCCAAAUUAAUGAUAGCUCUAUGGAGUUUUGAUAAAAACCAAUUCCACGAUUUCCUAUUCUCUAUCUUUCCCAAUCCAUAAGUCAGUGGACAAUUUUGAUUUUCCACCCAUGACUACUAAUAGGAACUACGUUCCUCAUACUUCAUUUUCAAGUAUGCAUCAUUUAUAAUGAGUACAAAUAAUAUGAACUGAAAAAUGAUUUUUAGGGUUCACAUACAAUGUUUAUGGCGUAAUAACUAUAAAUCUUACCACAUAACCAAGUGAAACAAAGAAUAACUUAAACUGACAUUGUGUGUUUUUCGUGAUGUAUGUUAUUAUGCCUUUAUUUGCUUUCUUCAGACUAUGACAAUAAGUAAGAAAUUACACGAACGAGUUUUUCAGUGUCUCCUAUAAAAAAUUUCAAAGCCUCACACUUCGCAUGACAAGCUCGAGUGUAAGAAAUAUCUAUUCUAAAUAGAACAUUUAUAUCUCGAAUAAAAAUUAUCCUACGGAAUGCCUACUCAAACACCCCUCGAUAAGGUAGUCUUAAAAAGAAUUAUAAAAUCAUAUAUGUUUACAUCAUAAAGUUUUUAACUUCAAAAUUUGUAGAAAGUACAACCCCAUUACAGUUUCAAAAUACUUCAAAAGAUAAUAAUGUAGAAUUACGUCUUAAAGUCUCAAAAUAAAGUGACAUAUUUGAAAGAGCAAUGUAGUAUCCAAAUCAAUAUCAUAACAUAUUUCUAAGUUCUUACCACACAAUAGUGGCCUUCUAAAGUGUCAUAUGUAUAUUCUAAGAAACUCAUAUGUCUUCAAAUCUAAACACAAGUCAAAAUAAAUUUGAAAAAGAAAAUUUCUAAUGAGAUUGCCCCAAACUUGACUCAUUUUGAGUAACUAAUAUGGUAAUCAUUACACUCGAAUCAAACCUCAAAAAUCAAUGCAAACCAACAGCAUACCAUGCGUUUUAGUAAACAAACAUGUAUAGUAACAAAAACUCAAAUAACCAAGCUAAAAGGUAUAUGAAUCCACAUUCAAAUUCAUGGAUUUGUUAUAUAUAACCGAAUAAAGAGUUUAUUAACUCAUAACUUAAACUAAUGAUAUAUUAGCUUAAAAAUCCAAUAUAAAGGACUAAAUAAACAACAAUCUAUAAAAAAGAAAUUAGUAUUCCAUAAUCCAAAGAAAAUGGUUAGAUAAACCACGAUCUCUAGUGAAAGGUUUAAUAUUUCAAUAAACCAUUUCGUAAAGAUUAAUAACUAGAAAUCUCAAAUAAAAUAAUCUUUAAUAAAAUCAUAAUUCAUAUAAAAGAAUCUCAAGACUCAUGAAUAGUAUGCAAAAAACACCAUCUUCAACUUUUGUCCAAAACCAAACAAAGCAUGGACUCAUUGAUAAUAUGCAUUUAGCACCACCUUAAACUUUUGUCUAUAACCAAACAUUGAUAUGGACUCAUAGAGAGUAUGUAUUUAUCAACACCUCCAACUUUUGUCCCAAACUAAACAAAUAUAUGGAUACGUAUCUAUCCAAAACCAAGUCAAUCUCAAAGUUAAAACUCCUAAUUAAUGAUGGUAUCGAAAAAUUGGACUUAUGAGUAGUGAGAACAUAUCACAACCCUUAACCUUUUUUACAUUUACAAACUACGGAAUAUGGAUAAUCGUGCAAAUCCAUACAGGGGUACAAAACCUCUCUUGUGCAUGUGAGGGAUUUUUAGAAUCCUGCUCACGACCUAUAUCUUGGUUAUUUAAUAAAGCAAGAGAUCUCAAAGUUAUGUGGCCACUUAAGCCAACCCAACCCUAUAUGCAUUCACAAAACCAUUUCAAAACUAUGUAUAUACUUUUAUCAAAAUAAUAUAUAUCCACAAGAAAUAUAUCAUCAACGCAAAUAAAUACCAUUGUUACACAAAAAGCAAGCAGGUUCAUAUUAUAUGAGAUCAAACAUAACAAUAUGAUAUAAAAUCAAACCGAAGAAACAACGUCAAAGUAAUUAUAGUGACUUGAAUUCUUAGUAAAUCCAUAUUAGAAUUCCUUCUAGCUUCUAUUACUUAUGUUCCCUUUCUAGAAUGGUUUGAGAACUUAAUUGUCACCUAUAAGUAUCAAUUGAUAUGUCAAAAUAUCAUUAUAUGGAUCAUUAAGAUCUUAAUCCUAAAAAUGAAAUUUUACAAUUUCAAAUCUUCCCUUAAAUUAAAAUAUGAACGUAGACAAAAAUAGAGAUUGAUUUAGCGUUUGUAGGCAAAAGUUAUGUCAUUUUUUGUAUCGAUAUAAUACUAUUCAAAAAGUUACACGAUUGUGUUUUUUCUUUACUAUAAAAACACGAUGUGUACCUUUAUGUAGAACAGAUUAUUUUAUAUAUCUUUUUCAAUGUUGAAAAAAUCCACACUAGGUCUUGAUUAAUCUCCUCCUUAGGCGCUACUCGACUGACUAGAGGGCAGCUGACGAUUAAUCCCUACAUACACAAUGAGGGAAUCGGUAGAAAACGAUGAAAUUUUAACACUUUGAAGAAUUUUAUCUCAAUAAAAACUAUUUGAGUUACGAUUAGUUUUGUAUCAAUCAUAUUUACCUAUUUUGUGUAACAUCCUGAUGUUAAGGCACUUCUAAAUUCAUGCUGUUAUUUUUUUAUGACAUUUUGGUCCAUAAGUCCAAGAGAAUGUGUCUAUGUGAGGCCUUAGUGGCAAAAUUGUAAAUUUGGAAGAAUGGGAGUACGCCAUGCAUGCGUACGUAUGCUUAGCGUACUAGGGUGCGCCCUAGUACGUUGGGCGAACAUCAGCGUACGCGAGGUGUACUCGCCAGGUGUAGAAACCCUAGAUCUAGGGUUAAAGCCCUAUAUAAUCAUCCUUAUAGCCUUAUUUCCCUCACCUCUUCAGCCUCCACUCUCCUUGAGAUGUUUUUGCAAACCCUAACCCAUGAGUGUGUGUUUUGAGAUUAAGUGUGUGUUCUUGGUGUGUUGAAGGAAGAAAUAAGAUUCAUUGAGGAUCCUUGGUGUGGAAGCAAGCUUGUAGAUCUGGGAUCUUUGUCUCUUUGGGAAGCUCUAGAAGGUAUUAAGCUUUGAUCGUGACUUGUAUUUCCUUAAGAUCUAGCCAUGUGAAGUUUUAUGAGUUUUUAGUCCCUUUUCUUGGACUUAAUAAGUAAAAGCUACUCUAAGACCAAAGGAGCCGUCCUUUUAGAAUAUUUGAGGUGAAUUAAGUUGUAUAAAUGCUAUUUUGACUCAUUUAGUUCUUGUGUGCAAGAUAUAGAGGUCUUAAGUGGUUAAGACAAACUAGGGUUUUGGUUUUGGGAAUUAUUAAGGCAUGUAUGAGCAUAAAGUUGAAACUUUGUGGUUAGGAGAUCCUUUUUAGACUUCGAUCUGGAUUUGGACGUUCAGACUCAUAGAAUUAAGAACUUAAUGGAGAUUUUGCAUGGCCACUGCAUCCACUAGGCAUACCUUGGCGUACAUUGGAUGUAGGUGGUCAACUGCCUAUUUUUGGUUAAGGGUGGAGUAUGUGGGGCGUAGAGGCUAAGUACGUUGGGCGUACUCAACUAGGUUGACUUUUCAUUGACUGCUGACUUUUGACCUAGUUUAACCCUAGCGGCAUUUUGGGAAUUUGUUAUGAAGCCUAAGGUUGGGUCUUUCCCUAUGUAUAGGUGAUCUAUAAAGUGGACUCGUGGAGUGAUAUUCUUUUCUGCUAUCUUUUACGGAUUUGCGAGGUGAUUUUCCCUCAUUGUAUUUACAUAUCGAAGGCACCAAGGCCGACCCAUUGGUUUGAUAACCUGAUAUUUGUUGGUAUGCUUAGUAUGGAAUACAUAUGCAUGCUAGUUUUGAUAUGCUAGUUUGGUAGAUCAGUAGGAUUACAUGUGAUACUAUCUGUAUGAUUAUUUGUAUAUAUGUUAGUAUCUGUUAUAUGUCGACAUAUUGUGUGGGUUGGGUUGAGGUUGUACUGCUCCAUGCGGUAGCCAACAAACCCUGGGGCAAUCCAGAUAUGAGAUGAGGGUUGGUUAGGGCAUGCAAGAAUCAUACUGAGGGAUCAUUAGCAUUACAGAUACGAUCUGAAGGUCGGGUAGGGCAUGCCAGACUCAUAAUGAGGCUUUGGUGGUAUUCAUUCCAAGGAUUAAUCUGGUCGGUGAGCAAGCCAUAAAUAAGUUAUGGGCCCCAAGGGUAAGCUAGACUUAUGCUUUGGGCUCAGGGGUAAUCCAGUCUUUUAGCGGUGGACCCAUUUCAUGUUGUUAUUAUAUAUGCGUUAUUAGUUUAUGUGAUGGUACUUUGGGGGAACUCACUAAGUGUUGGCUUACAGUUUUGGGUUAUGUUUCAGGUACUUCAGAGGAUCGUGGAAAGGCAAAGGCGUGACCGUACACAUCCUCAUGUUUUGGACUUAUGAUUUUGGGAAACUAUGAUAUAGACAAUGUUUUGAAAAUUAUGUUGUAAAAAAUUUGUGAUUUUGAGUUGGCUUUUAAAAGUUUAAAUUUUUCAUGAUUUUAUGAAAGUUACAAGUUAGUUUUAGAGCCUUGGUUUUAGUGAAUUGGAGAAACACUCGUGUGAAUCCAGUCUCAAACUAAGGAAAAGAAUUUUAAAACGAUUUUCAAAGUGUUUUCAAAAUAAUCAAGGAGGAUGCGAUGUGUACGAUCAGUCGGAACCAGUAAGUAGACCCAAAAUUACCACAUUGUUAUUUGAUAUUGUGAUAUGUUAGAACAACAUGCUAGUGAUAGGCUAGGGAUCUUCAGGAAUUGCAUGAUAGUGUUGGGUUUAGUUCAAAAAUAGUUUCAUAUACUAGAAAAAUAUGGCAAUGGAAGAAUUUAAUUUUUGAAAUAACAUAAACAUUUUAUACCCACCAAGGAUCUUCUUGCAACUUAUAUAAAGAUUAAAAUACCAACCAAAGAAGAGGUGAAGAAAUAACAACAUUUGUAGUUCUUUGGGUCCUCUUGGGAGGUUUGGAAGUUGAUGAAUAAUGUGGAACCUUUGAGACACCAACAAUGAAUCAACUUGAUGUAGAUGCUAGUCCAAAACUCUUAAACUCUUAAGCUUGAAGUUCAUAACCAAUAUGAACUUCGAGAGAGCAAAAGAUAUGCAAGUAAUCUUCAAUAACUCAAAGCAAAGAAUAGAUGGAGAGUCUCCUAGAGAGCUAUCGUCCAUUAGAAGAGAAGCGACACCCCAAGAGUGCAAGACACUAGCUAUUUAAAGCAUGAACUUAAUCUAAAGGUCUUUAUCCAAUAAGCACUUUAGACAAGCUUGCCCCCAUGUCAUAAGAGUGUUCCCCAUUCUUAUGUAUGCUUUUGAAUAAACUAAGAAGAAAUCCAUGACUAUUUAUCUUUAUUCAAUUUUUCGGAAAUUGUAUAUAAAAAGAAGAGUUUGUUUAAAUUUUAUAAACUAAAGUUUUUUAUAAAAUAUAAAAUUUGUCUUUUGAGUAAAAGACAAAAGGGCUUCAACUAGUCCAAAAAGUUGUACACAACUUAUUAAUUCAUACCAUAUGAAUAAUAUUACUUGCUAAUUAAAAUUGUUAUUUCCAUGAAAUAAAUAAUUUCCAAUUUAAUCAUAAGAGUUUUUUUAAUAGUUAUUAAAAUCAAUUUCUAAUAAAUAAUCAUUUGUAUCAAGUUGCUGUUAGUAUGAUCCAUUAGUAUCAUAUGUUAUUUGGCAAUAUCACUUUAAUAUGACUCCUGAGCAUACUAGACCUUUCAAUCUCCCACUUGCACGAGACUCAUAUUAGACUGAUAUAGAUAGUGGUGAACGUAUAGCAACAUUUCACUGCUCCCAAGACCAUACAACUUUUUGUGUCAUUUUAUCAAUGCUCAAUUCCUAAAAAGCUCAAAGCUACAAUUGGUGUAUAAGGUAAGUUUAUCAGUUAUCCCUUUGCUAUGGACAUCAUGUUGAACAUGAGAUUUGGAUUGCGAUCAAUCUCAUUAGUUGUUAAACUUUUAGUAAGAUGCCUUAGCUGUCUAACUCUCAACACAUAAGAGUAA